GCAGAUGUGGUGGAAUUGGUAGACACGCUAUCUUGAGGGGGUAGUGGCGCGAGCCGUGCGAGUUCGAGUCUCGCCAUCUGCACCA
This 85-nucleotide transfer RNA is filed under the name Gammaproteobacteria bacterium. Its description in RNAcentral is "tRNA-Leu". It matches the Rfam family "tRNA". Rfam says of the family: Transfer RNA (tRNA) molecules are approximately 80 nucleotides in length. Their secondary structure includes four short double-helical elements and three loops (D, anti-codon, and T loops). Further hydrogen bonds mediate the characteristic L-shaped molecular structure. tRNAs have two regions of fundamental functional importance: the anti-codon, which is responsible for specific mRNA codon recognition, and the 3' end, to which the tRNAs corresponding amino acid is attached (by aminoacyl-tRNA synthetases). tRNAs cope with the degeneracy of the genetic code in two manners: having more than one tRNA (with a specific anti-codon) for a particular amino acid; and 'wobble' base-pairing, i.e. permitting non-standard base-pairing at the 3rd anti-codon position. The record is from RNAcentral. Lineage: Bacteria; Pseudomonadati; Pseudomonadota; Gammaproteobacteria.